Molecule: non-coding RNA, 632 nt
Organism: Nicotiana tabacum (common tobacco)
Lineage: Eukaryota; Viridiplantae; Streptophyta; Magnoliopsida; Solanales; Solanaceae
Source: RefSeq, a predicted model, not a curated record
GCUAUGAUUUUUCACUUGCUUUUUUACUCCAAGUGAAAAAGACUAGAUGGAGAGUAUAAAAGAGGGGAAGCAGAAAUAGAAAUUAUAAGGUUGGAUUGAAAAGAAGAAUGUGUCCAGGAAUUGAUUGCAGUUGCAGACCUUUGGCCUUUUUGUUAGGCCUCCCUUUUGCUCUCAUUUCCCUGCUUAUCACCAUAGUCGGCGUCUUCAUCUGGAUUAUCGGGUCGACGUGUCCAUGUUGCAUAUGUGUGACAGUGUUGGUUGAAUUUGGGCUGGCGUUGAUUAAGGCUCCUAUUCGUGUCAUGAAGUGGUUUGCUGAUAAGAUCCCUUUUUGACAGACUCUUUCCAUCACUUUGCUCUACUUUUAUACUUUGAGAAAGGGUUAAAUUUGUUGUUGUAUGUAUUGUUCGGAAUUGAAUAACUUUUGCCCUCUUUUACACUUUUGAUUUAAUAUUACUUCGUUAUUAGGAUAGAGUCUUAUUUUUACUCUUGAUCUCUAAUGAGCUGUAACAUGAGGGUAAUUUUGUAUCAUUGUCGAAAGUCGACAAAUUCGAACUCAUGGGAUCUGCUUGUUUCAUAUUGGAACUCUAUCAAUGACAAGGAAAAAUAUGAAUAAAAAAAAUUGAUGAAGACAA